CUAGAGUUUGAUCCUGGCUCAGGACGAACGCUGGCGGCGUGCUUCAAACAUGCAAGUCGAACGGAGUUAAUUUUGAAGCUUGCUUUAGAAUUAACUUAGUGGCGGACUGGUGAGUAACGCGUGAGUAAUCUGCCUAUCACAGGGGGAUAACAGAGGGAAACUUCUGCUAAUACCGCAUAAGCGCACGGGACCGCAUGGUUUUGUGUGAAAAGCCGAGACGGUAUGAGAUGGACCCGCGUCUGAUUAGCUGGUUGGUGGGGUAACGGCCCACCAAGGCGACGAUCAGUAGCCGACCUGAGAGGGUGACCGGCCACAUUGGGACUGAGACACGGCCCAAACUCCUACGGGAGGCAGCAGUGGGGAAUAUUGCACAAUGGGGGAAACCCUGAUGCAGCGACGCCGCGUGAGUGAAGAAGUAUUUCGGUAUGUAAAGCUCUAUCAGCAGGGAAGAGAAUGACGGUACCUGACUAAGAAGCCCCGGCUAACUACGUGCCAGCAGCCGCGGUAA
RNAcentral lists this ribosomal RNA (508 nucleotides) under uncultured bacterium. RNAcentral describes it as "bacterial SSU rRNA". It matches the Rfam family "Bacterial small subunit ribosomal RNA", at positions 1 to 523 of the family's 1533-position model. The record is from RNAcentral.